RNAcentral lists this long non-coding RNA (2389 nucleotides) under Trifolium pratense (red clover). RNAcentral's name for it is "long non-coding RNA (TPRA_LNC011496)". The record is from RNAcentral. Lineage: Eukaryota; Viridiplantae; Streptophyta; Magnoliopsida; Fabales; Fabaceae.
UUAAAUUUGACGAAAAGGAUGCAUCAAUAUUACAUUUGAAUCGUCCCAGAGUCGGCCUUUUCCAAUAAACAGCAGCAGAAUCUAUUUGUGCCGCGGUCGCAUUAUGCAAAGCACCAAGUGGUAUCAGAGAUUUGAUACAGGCGAACCUGCAAAAUCUGAAAGGAUUUGCCGAGUCAUUGAAGGUCCAAUCAAGAAGCUUAAAAUUCUUUUCUAUUUCAACAUUAAUAAUGAAAUUGCAUUUAGGCCAACAAUUUAGGGGUUUGAGGCUCAAAUAUCAAAUUUUGCAUUCAAACUCAUCAUGAGACAUAUGCUCAAUUUCGCAUCUAAGGUAACCAAAAGCACACUACCAUCAUGCCAAUUUAUCACUAUUAAGAAAACAUCAUAGAGUCACUGUAUCAAGAGUGGUCUCAACAUGCAUAUCAAGUUAUGAAUAAAAAUUCAUAAUAAAAUUGAAUCUAGGGUCAUCAAAGGACAUAUGUUCAAUUUUCGCAUCUAAGGUCACUCAACGUGAAAUCAUCAUCCCAAUUUACUAUUACGAAAAAGCAUAGUAUAGCCAUCGUUUCAAGGGUCACAUAUUCAAGUUAGGGACACAGAGGGACAUAUCUUCAAGUUAGUCAUCUCGACUUGCAUUUAAAGUUAUGAAUAAGCAUUCACAUUGAAAUUCCAUUCAGACAAUCAAUCUAGGGACAUCAAGGGACAUAUACUCAAUUUCGCAUCAAAGGCACGAAGGCACACAACCCUCUUCACAAUAUACCGUAAUAAGAAAAUCAUUAUCAACUUGCAUUUUGAAUAAACAUUCAUAUUUCAAAUUACAUUUAGACCCUCAAAAUUUUCAUGUAUACCAUCCUGAUUUCAUAUGAAUAAAGAAUUCAUAUUGUAAGCCACAUAUUUGGUCAAAAAAUUCAUCUCAUUGGGUCAUCCAAACACAAUAUCCCAUGACUUGUCUUAAGAAUUUUUUUAGCAACAACACAAUUUCUUAGGCCAAAUUACCUUCUUAGGUAUGAAAAAUCAAGAUUCGCCAAUUUACCACACUCUUGGAUGAUACAAAAAACUACCCAAAACAACAGCUAUGUCAAACAAUAGUUUGAAGAAUCUGUUACUUCAUGAAAGACAAAAGUGAGUCAAAUCAAUUAAAAAAAAAUCCAAAAGAUACAGGAUAAAAUUUGAAACAAAGAUGUAGAAGUGAUAAAAAUCACAAGAACUCAAAGUGAUACAAGCAACACUGCUAAACUUGAAAGGGUUUGCAGAGUCAUUGAAGGUCCAAUCAAGAAGCUUAAAAUUCUUUUCUAUUUCUACAUUAAUAGCCAACAAUUAGGGGUUAUAAGGCUCAAAUAUAGAAUGCAGUCAUCAAGCGACAUAAACUCAAUUUCACAUAUAAGGUAACCAAAAGCACACUACCAUCAUGCCAAUUUAUCAUUAUUAGAAAAGCAUCAUAAAAGUCAUUCUAUCAAAGGUCGUCUCGACAUGCAUAUCAAAUUUUGAAGCUUAUGUAUAUAACUUCAAUCUAGUUUCUUGUGUUAUAUAGUUUAUUAACCCACAAAUCUUGCUGCAUUGCUGAAGAGCAAUCUAUUUUCUAUUUCAUUAUCAUGAAUCAUUUCCUGCUUUGAUUAGCAAACUCAAUUGUGUUAUAUAGUUUAUUAACCCACAAAUCUUGCUGCAUUGCUGAAGAGCAAUCUAUUUUCUAUUUCAUUAUCAUGAAUCAUUUCCUGCUUUGAUUAGAAAACUCAAUUGUGCUUUACAUUGCUUUUGAUAAAACAAAUAGAUGGCUAGCUAGUACUAAUUUACUUCUGUUAAUAGCUUUUAUCAAUGAGCACAGAGUAUAACUCAUUUUGGACUGGUUGUAGACUUCAUUUCUUUGUAGUCUCUUUGGAGAUUGAAAUGAAUGGUACUUUGGUUCUGGGAUCGGCUCAAUUUAUAUGGAACUAGGCAUCAGUUUUAAGGUUAAUUGCAAAUUUAUGAUUGUAAAAUUGCCAUUUCUGGUACUUAACGCCUGGUUUGCAAUCAUUGCAUAGAAAUGGAGUGAGUUUGGUAUAUUUUUAGAUAUACUGUUGAUUGCUAAGCGAUCAAGUGGCUGAAGUGUUUUGGAGGUUGUUAUCAACUUCUGCAUGCUAGUAAAGUUCUUUUCAUGGGAUUGACUCACUAAUUUGAAGGCCCUGACUCAGGGGAAUGGUCGACUAACAACUCAUGUUGUUCAUAUCUUCUGUUAUUGGCCUUUUUAAGCAAUCUAACCUUCAUCAUAAAAUAUCUGUUUAUAGCUUUUCCUAUUAAAGAAUUGAGUUUUGAAAUAUUAAAAGCUCUUAUAACCUGCUGUAGCAAGUCAAACUGGUGGUACACCAGUACACUGCAUCUAAAGUUCUGCUGCACCAUAUCCACGUAGGCGGUGACCUGG